GUACACACCGCCCGUCACACCAUGGGAGUUGGCUUUACCCGAAGGCGYUKCGCYAACCGCAAGGAGGCAGGCGWCCACGGUMGGGUCARYGACUGGGGUGAAGUCGUAACAAGGUAGCCGUAGGUGAACCUGCAGAAGGAUCA
This 143-nucleotide ribosomal RNA is filed under the name uncultured eukaryote. Its description in RNAcentral is "partial small subunit ribosomal RNA". The record is from RNAcentral.